This 2825-nucleotide ribosomal RNA is filed under the name Klebsiella pneumoniae. RNAcentral's name for it is "partial 23S ribosomal RNA". It matches the Rfam family "Bacterial large subunit ribosomal RNA". The record is from RNAcentral. Lineage: Bacteria; Pseudomonadati; Pseudomonadota; Gammaproteobacteria; Enterobacterales; Enterobacteriaceae.
GGGUUGUGAGGUUAAGCGACUAAGCGUACACGGUGGAUGCCCUGGCAGUCAGAGGCGAUGAAGGACGUGCUAAUCUGCGAAAAGCGUCGGUAAGGUGAUAUGAACCGUUAUAACCGGCGAUGUCCGAAUGGGGAAACCCAGUGCAAUUCGUUGCACUAUCGUUAACUGAAUACAUAGGUUAACGAGGCGAACCGGGGGAACUGAAACAUCUAAGUACCCCGAGGAAAAGAAAUCAACCGAGAUUCCCCCAGUAGCGGCGAGCGAACGGGGAGCAGCCCAGAGUCUGAAUCAGCUUGUGUGUUAGUGGAACGGUCUGGAAAGUCCGACGGUACAGGGUGAUAGUCCCGUACACCAAAAUGCACAGGCUGUGAACUCGAAGAGUAGGGCGGGACACGUGGUAUCCUGUCUGAAUAUGGGGGGACCAUCCUCCAAGGCUAAAUACUCCUGACUGACCGAUAGUGAACCAGUACCGUGAGGGAAAGGCGAAAAGAACCCCGGCGAGGGGAGUGAAAAAGAACCUGAAACCGUGUACGUACAAGCAGUGGGAGCACCUUCGGGUGUGACUGCGUACCUUUUGUAUAAUGGGUCAGCGACUUAUAUUCUGUAGCAAGGUUAACCGUAUAGGGGAGCCGCAGGGAAACCGAGUCUUAACUGGGCGUUAAGUUGCAGGGUAUAGACCCGAAACCCGGUGAUCUAGCCAUGGGCAGGUUGAAGGUUGGGUAACACUAACUGGAGGACCGAACCGACUAAUGUUGAAAAAUUAGCGGAUGACUUGUGGCUGGGGGUGAAAGGCCAAUCAAACCGGGAGAUAGCUGGUUCUCCCCGAAAGCUAUUUAGGUAGCGCCUCGUGAACUCAUCUUCGGGGGUAGAGCACUGUUUCGGCUAGGGGGUCAUCCCGACUUACCAACCCGAUGCAAACUACGAAUACCGAAGAAUGUUAUCACGGGAGACACACGGCGGGUGCUAACGUCCGUCGUGAAGAGGGAAACAACCCAGACCGCCAGCUAAGGUCCCAAAGUCAUGGUUAAGUGGGAAACGAUGUGGGAAGGCACAGACAGCCAGGAUGUUGGCUUAGAAGCAGCCAUCAUUUAAAGAAAGCGUAAUAGCUCACUGGUCGAGUCGGCCUGCGCGGAAGAUGUAACGGGGCUAAACCAUGCACCGAAGCUGCGGCAGCGACACUAUGUGUUGUUGGGUAGGGGAGCGUUCUGUAAGCCUGCGAAGGUGACCUGUGAGGGUUGCUGGAGGUAUCAGAAGUGCGAAUGCUGACAUAAGUAACGAUAAAGCGGGUGAAAAGCCCGCUCGCCGGAAGACCAAGGGUUCCUGUCCAACGUUAAUCGGGGCAGGGUGAGUCGACCCCUAAGGCGAGGCCGAAAGGCGUAGUCGAUGGGAAACAGGUUAAUAUUCCUGUACUUGGUGUUACUGCGAAGGGGGGACGGAGAAGGCUAUGUUAGCCGGGCGACGGUUGUCCCGGUUUAAGCAUGUAGGCUGGUUGUCCAGGCAAAUCCGGAUAAUCAAGGCUGAGGUGUGAUGACGAGGCACUACGGUGCUGAAGUAACAAAUGCCCUGCUUCCAGGAAAAGCCUCUAAGCAUCAGGUAACAUUAAAUCGUACCCCAAACCGACACAGGUGGUCAGGUAGAGAAUACCAAGGCGCUUGAGAGAACUCGGGUGAAGGAACUAGGCAAAAUGGUGCCGUAACUUCGGGAGAAGGCACGCUGGUGUGUAGGUGAAGUCCCUGCGGAUGGAGCUGAGACCAGUCGAAGAUACCAGCUGGCUGCAACUGUUUAUUAAAAACACAGCACUGUGCAAACACGAAAGUGGACGUAUACGGUGUGACGCCUGCCCGGUGCCGGAAGGUUAAUUGAUGGGGUUAUCCGUAAGGAGAAGCUCUUGAUCGAAGCCCCGGUAAACGGCGGCCGUAACUAUAACGGUCCUAAGGUAGCGAAAUUCCUUGUCGGGUAAGUUCCGACCUGCACGAAUGGCGUAAUGAUGGCCAGGCUGUCUCCACCCGAGACUCAGUGAAAUUGAACUCGCUGUGAAGAUGCAGUGUACCCGCGGCAAGACGGAAAGACCCCGUGAACCUUUACUAUAGCUUGACACUGAACAUUGAGCCUUGAUGUGUAGGAUAGGUGGGAGGCUUUGAAGCGUGGACGCCAGUCUGCGUGGAGCCAACCUUGAAAUACCACCCUUUAAUGUUUGAUGUUCUAACGUUGGCCCCUUACCGGGGUUGCGGACAGUGUCUGGUGGGUAGUUUGACUGGGGCGGUCUCCUCCUAAAGCGUAACGGAGGAGCACGAAGGUUAGCUAAUCCUGGUCGGACAUCAGGAGGUUAGUGCAAUGGCAUAAGCUAGCUUGACUGCGAGCGUGACGGCGCGAGCAGGUGCGAAAGCAGGUCAUAGUGAUCCGGUGGUUCUGAAUGGAAGGGCCAUCGCUCAACGGAUAAAAGGUACUCCGGGGAUAACAGGCUGAUACCGCCCAAGAGUUCAUAUCGACGGCGGUGUUUGGCACCUCGAUGUCGGCUCAUCACAUCCUGGGGCUGAAGUAGGUCCCAAGGGUAUGGCUGUUCGCCAUUUAAAGUGGUACGCGAGCUGGGUUUAGAACGUCGUGAGACAGUUCGGUCCCUAUCUGCCGUGGGCGCUGGAGAAUUGAGGGGGGCUGCUCCUAGUACGAGAGGACCGGAGUGGACGCAUCACUGGUGUUCGGGUUGUCAUGCCAAUGGCACUGCCCGGUAGCUAAAUGCGGAAGAGAUAAGUGCUGAAAGCAUCUAAGCACGAAACUUGCCCCGAGAUGAGUUCUCCCUGAGACUUUAAGUCUCCUGAAGGAACGUU